Molecule: RNA transcript, 3610 nt
Organism: Chelonia mydas (Green sea turtle)
Lineage: Eukaryota; Metazoa; Chordata; Testudines; Cheloniidae
Gene: PARL
Gene name: presenilin associated rhomboid like
Exons: 9
Source: RefSeq, a predicted model, not a curated record
GCGGCCGGGGCUGCCGGGUGCUCCGGAAGCGCUUGUGGUUCGGGGCGGGCCAGGGUCGGAACAUGGCGUGGAGCUGCUGGGCCCGGCUCUGCAGCCGAGAGGCGCUGAGCGGCCGCCGCUCCCGGGGCCACAGGUUUACUUUAUAUACACAGCAGAGAAAUGGAUUCAAAAGAGUGCCACAAAAGACUGAACCUCGAAAACCAGACCAAGAAACUGGCUCCAAACCAUACAAAAGCAGUCUGUCUCCUCCAGUACAGGAAACAAUCUUUUAUACUUCCUCCCCUUCGCUGAAGCAUCUUGUGAAGCCAUUCUUUUUCACAAUUGGGUUUACAGGCUGUGCAUUUGGAUCAGCUGCUAUUUGGCAGUAUGAAUACCUAAAAUCCCGGGUCCAGAACUAUUUUGAUGAGGCUCGAGCAGAUUGGAUGGAUAAGUUACGACCUCAGAAAAGUGGGGACUUCAGAAAGCAGGUUAACAUGUGGUGGAAUAGCCUGAGUGAGGGUCAGCGGACUGUGACAGGUAUCAUAGCUGCAAAUGUCUUUGUGUUCUGUUUAUGGAGAAUCCCUUCUAUGCAGCGGACAAUGAUAACUUACUUCACAUCUAAUCCAGCCUCUAGAGUCCUUUGCUCUCCCAUGCUGCUCUCUACAUUUAGUCAUUUCUCUUUGUUCCACAUGGCUGCAAAUAUGUAUGUGUUGUGGAGUUUUUCUUCAAGUAUAGUUUCUCUUUUGGGACGUGAGCAGUUCAUAGCAGUGUACCUUUCUGCAGGUGUUAUCUCCACAUUUGUCAGUUACAUCAGUAAAGUAACUACUGGAAGAUUUGGACCAUCACUUGGAGCUUCAGGAGCUAUAAUGACUAUCCUUGCAGCAGUAUGUACGAAGAUGCCAGAAGCAAAACUAGCCAUCAUACUUCUUCCAAUGUUCACAUUUACAGCAGGAAAUGUAAGUGCCUUUGAAUAUCAGAAGAAAUUAUAUACUUCAAAUAUUUUCCUUUCCCUACACUCCAACAGUAUCUGAAUGUCUCCUUUUAAUAUGAGUAUACAAACAAUAUCUAAUUUUUAUUUAAAUACAUGGUCGUGGCUUGAAGUCUUAGGGCCUGAUUUGCUGUUGCUCUGAACUUUAUGUAGUCAUUUACACCAAUGCAAAGUGGGCAUAAAAUGUUGUCAUUCUCAUUUGGUAGAGUUCUGCACUGACUCUAUUCUCGUGUAUAAUGACUAGACAAGAUGCAGAGCAAUCAAGGAUCUGGCUUGUUUUCAAUUGCUUGUCUCUUGGUUGUUUUUUUUUUAAAUUGUAUAGAGCUAGAUUCCUUCCUGGAGGUGUAUUUCACACCAAAUUCUUAAAGCUGCAGAAAAUGGGGAUAGGGAAAGGGAACCCGAUGCCUGUGAGAAAGUAUAACAAAAUUGUGUACAUGCACUGUGGGAACCUAUUGUCAUUCAAAGUGUGCCACAUAGUGUAUGGCUAUAUUUGUUAGGGAUAAACUGCAGGACCUAGUUACUUAUUUCAGGCAACUUUUAAAUGAACUGUGUGAAAAAUAACUUGGGGGCGAAUAAGAAAGAGAGGAAAUCUGCAGAGGCAGAUUUGAGAAUUUAAUUUUCCAGAAAAAAUCAUUUCUAAUCACGUUGCUGUAGAUGCUUGUCUCCUGCUUUAGACGCUUCCUGCUGCUGCUUCUAAGAACAUAAGUUUUAGGAACAGGAAUAAAUCCCUGGGGCUUUUGUGGCACAUUCUUAAUAUUUUCAUUCUUUGUUUCCUUUCCCUGCUUUUAAAAAAUAUAUAUAUUUUAGAAACUCAUUCAUAUAUCUUGACUCCUGAGUUAAGAUGCAUAGUCAUCUUUUUUGUAUGCUACUGAACACUGUUUUAGAAUGAUAGCUUAAUUGCUGUAUUUAAACCCAUUUUAAGACAACUGGGUUUAAAAUAUGCACUGUAAGGGAAUGAGUUUACUGAGAUGUCUAUCAGUUUUAAAUUUCAAAGCAUUUUUUAGGCCUUGUCUAUACUGGCAAGUUUCUGUGCAGUAAAGCAGCUUUCUGCGUCGUAACUCCCGAGGUGCACACAAUGCCAGGCCACUUAGUGCACAGAAACCGUGCAUUUGCAGUGCUGUAAAAAAAACCACCCUGACGAGAGGCAUGCAGCUUUCUGCGCUGGGGCUACAGCAUCAUGGUGCUCGUGUAGACACCCUGGUCGAUUACAGCGCUGUGAUUGGCGUCCAGGAGGUGUCCCACAAUGCCUGUUUUCACCUCUCUGGUCAUUGGUUUGAACUCUUCUAGCCUGCCCUCAGGUGACCAACCGUCAUCCCCACCCUUUAAAUUCCUUGGGAAUUUUGAAAGUCCCUUUCCUGUUUGCUCGGUGAUGCGCGCAGUGGUCUCAGUGCAUCUUUCCAGGUGACCAUGCCUGCUCCAUGCACCAGGUGAUCCCCGACUUGGAGCAAUGAUGAGCUGCUGGACCUCAUCAGCAUUUGAGGAGAGGACGCUGCACAGUCCCAGCUGCGCUCCAGCCAUGGGAAUUAUAAUACCUAUGGACAGAUUUCACAAUGCAUGACAGAAAGGGGCCAUGAUUGGGACACACUGCAGUGUAGGGUCAAAGCGAAGGAGCUGUGGAACACCUACCACAAGGCGCGGGAGGCAAACUGCUGCUCCAGUGCUGCGCCCACAAGCUGCCGGUUCUAUAAAGAGCUGGACACAAUACUCAGGGGCGACCCCUCCUCCACUGCAAAGGCCGCUGUGGAUACUUCGGUGGCUCACAUGCCAGUUGGAGUGGACCAAGACAGGAGGAGGAAAUCUUGAACGAGGAUGUGGAGGGGAAGAGGGACCCAAAGGCAGAGGACACCUUGGAGGUCAGAGAUGCAUGCAGCCAGGAGCUCUUCUCUACCCUGGAGGAGGCUAGCCAGUCACAGCUGUUGGAGCUUGGUGAAGUGCAAACAGGAGAGGAGGCCCCUGAUAUGACUUUGGGAGCCCAGCCUCCCUCUCUAUUAUCUCCAGCUGAACGGCUGCACAGAAUUAGAAAGAACUAAAGAGGACUUUCUGUAUGAUGUCAUGAUGCACUCCGUGGCUGAAAAACACGAAUUGAAGGAGUGGCGGGAUGGCAAGAAGAGAGACCGAAAGAAGAACGCGGCAUGCCAGAACAAAGCCACGGAGUGGCUCUCAAACGUUAUGGAGCACCAGGCAGACAUGCUCCAGGUGCUACUAGCACUGCAAACCAAGCAGCUCCUCACUCGCCCUCCCCAGCAGCCGCUGUCACAAAACUCUUUCCCAUGCGCCCCCCCUGCCCCAGACACCGCCAACACACUCUUAUCAGCCUCCUGGCUCCAGUCUGUACACACUACAUUCCACUCCUCCCCCGUCACAGUCCAGCACUAUGGACUCCCAGUACCCACUGCACUCAACACCCAUCCCUCUGCAGUUUGGCCCUGCUGAAGUACAGCACCCACUGCACUGUACUCCAAAGGAGAAGGUUGGAAAUGAUACCUGGACAUACACAAAUCUUUUAACCGUUCCAGGACCCCACCUUCUCCUGGGAUCCUCCCUUCCCCCAUCCCCUUCAGUGCUGAUUGGGGGGGGGGAGGGGGGGUUGUCUCUCUCUCUCCUCCGGUUGUUGUUUUUUAAUAAAAGAAUUGUUUUGGUUUG